Molecule: ribosomal RNA, 702 nt
Filed under: uncultured bacterium
Lineage: Bacteria
Description: bacterial SSU rRNA
Rfam family: Bacterial small subunit ribosomal RNA
Source: RNAcentral
GGAGGGGGAUAACUACUGGAAACGGUAGCUAAUACCGCAUAACGUCGCAAGACCAAAGAGGGGGACCUUAGGGCCUCUUGCCAUCGGAUGUGCCCAGAUGGGAUUAGCUUGUAGGUGAGGUAACGGCUCACCUAGGCGACGAUCCCUAGCUGGUCUGAGAGGAUGACCAGCCACACUGGAACUGAGACACGGUCCAGACUCCUACGGGAGGCAGCAGUGGGGAAUAUUGCACAAUGGGCGCAAGCCUGAUGCAGCCAUGCCGCGUGUAUGAAGAAGGCCUUCGGGUUGUAAAGUACUUUCAGCGGGGAGGAAGGGAGUGAGGUUAAUAACCUUAUUCAUUGACGUUACCCGCAGAAGAAGCACCGGCUAACUCCGUGCCAGCAGCCGCGGUAAUACGGAGGGUGCAAGCGUUAAUCGGAAUUACUGGGCGUAAAGCGCACGCAGGCGGUCUGUCAAGUCGGAUGUGAAAUCCCCGGGCUCAACCUGGGAACUGCAUUCGAAACUGGCAGGCUGGAGUCUUGUAGAGGGGGGUAGAAUUCCAGGUGUAGCGGUGAAAUGCGUAGAGAUCUGGAGGAAUACCGGUGGCGAAGGCGGCCCCCUGGACAAAGACUGACGCUCAGGUGCGAAAGCGUGGGGAGCAGACAGGAUUAGAUACCCUGGUAGUCCACGCUGUAAACGAUGUCGACGUGGAGGUUGUUCCCU